This 2105-nucleotide ribosomal RNA is filed under the name Triticum aestivum (bread wheat). RNAcentral describes it as "partial small subunit ribosomal RNA". Lineage: Eukaryota; Viridiplantae; Streptophyta; Magnoliopsida; Poales; Poaceae. The record is from RNAcentral.
AUGGACCCAUCUCAGGGCAUGUGGCCUAACCCUAGCCGCCGCCUCCUCUCACACCCGCGUGGCCUCUCCGACCUGCUUCCUCUCCUCACCUCGCACCCCUCGCGCUGCCACCCUCCCAACCUCUCAUCUUCCAGCGCCUCCUCCCCGUCAGCUCGAUCUCUCCACUCCCAGCCGGUCAUCCUUCUCUUGCAUCGCCCGGAGGGGUGCAGCCGCCGCCGCUCGCAUUUGUUACUCCCCCUGCCCCCACCUUGCGAGCUCGCACAUCUGCUCCGCCCAGAGGCGUCGCCAUUGACCGCCGGAGGACCGUGCCGCAGCCAAACUCGAGGACAACCACUGCUAUGGCCCGUGGAGUUGCAAGUGGAAGCUGCGGCUUUUUCUUUAAUCGGCUUGUUGUCAUGCGUCCGUGGCUCCGUACAUGGCAAGGGUGAGAGUGAAUUUCAAACGGCUUAUGACAAAGGAAUGCCCAAAUCAAAGUUCUGGGAGCCUGCAUAUGAAGAUUGCUUAAAUAUGAUUGCUCUACCGCAUGAUCGGACGUUGCUGGUCGCCGGCUUGGCCUGCAAGAGGAUGCCCCCUGCUCUGACUUGUUCACAUCUUAGUGUUUCACCAAUGAAGAUGUAUUUUCAAGGUGUUAAGAGGAGGAGGAGGGGGGAGGUGCUAUUGCAGGCGAAGGAGGGGGUAGGAAACUGCUUGGGAGGAUACUUCAGCUCAGAGAAGGCAGCAGCAGCUCGUAGGAGCAAUGGAGGCGUGCUUCAUACAACAAAGAACCAGAGUCAUCGAUGCAGAGGAUCAUUAUCGCGUCCGCUGGCUGAGGGGCAAGCUGGGGCUGUAGUCCUUGAACAUAGUGGUUCUACUGUGAAGGCCUUGCAUUGGGACUCUGUGCCUCCUAAACUAACAACAAAUGAACUUGCCUUUAGGAUUUUUGCACUGCACUGUGCAUCCAGGUCCAACCCAAUGUACCUGGCAAAUGGCCAAUCGAGUAAAUGUGGGUUUGGUGCAUUGGCAAAGAAGACUAUGUACAACCUCUUCUUUUUGAAGCCCUCGGCCCCUCACGACCUGUUGAAGUUGAGGGCAGUAGCUCACACUGUGAGGGGCUUCAGCAACGGGGCCUAUUAUGCACAUGAUGGUGUGAUACUCUCCUGGGUAGAGCUCAUCCAUGGCUUGCGUGAGUAUCCCCAAAGGCGGGUGGUAUGGCAAGCCGCGGGGAGCUCAGGAUAGGGUCAGCAGCUUCAACAGUUUGAACUGCACCAAUGCAACUGUAUGUCUCUAGAGAUGUGUCAUUGGCUGAUGAGGUUAUCCCCACUAAAGCCAAGAAGGCCAGGCGCAACUAAAACCAGGAAGGCCAAUUCUUGUUAAGUGCUCGCCCUUUUGGACCUUAUCAUUUUGUCUGUGGAUGUGCGAAAGAAUGAUGUCUGGAUAUGGGAGUGUCUCUUUAGAUGUAGAUAUAGAUAGUGCCUCAAGCAACUAAACCGCAUAUGGGGUUUUAACAUUGUCUUUGGUGGAAAAGGCCCUCAAUUCUCGACCAUUGUUCUAUUUCCGAUUUCUUGCUUGGUUGUGUAGAUGUCGUGGGUAUUGUAGUCAAGGUUUCUGAUGUACUCUUGUUCCAGCCGCAACCAUGGCAAACUGUGACACUUACUAUGAAUCAGAAGUAGUUAUGUCUAUCUCUCUAUCUCUGUAUAUGAUUUGGGCAGCAUGUGUGCAUUGACCAUUCUGAUCUCUUUGCUUUCUCAUCCCCGACAUCCAGGAUACGUAGACGAGUAUGGCAUUCCUCAAAGGCGGGCGUACCGCGUACGUGGCCGUGUUGAAAGAGUUGUGGCCUCUGUCUCUGCCUCGAAUGUCGAUGAUGCCUCUAUGCUACCUAGCGGAUUCUCCCCGUUACCUGGACCUGCCUCUCCCGCAGUCAAAAUGUCCUUUUUAUUUAGUUUGUUCAGUGAAUGUUGGACUAGAUAAGAAGGCUUUAUUCACGCUGAAUCUGUACAACUAUGAACUAUUUGUGUAUUCUUUUGUUUAAGCUUUGAAAUGAGAGAAUGAAAUGUUGCGUUUGAGCAGUGGUGUUGCAUGUUUUUUCUUGCCGUUGAAUCACUGCAAGUAGAAUUGUCGGACACCAA